This 417-nucleotide ribosomal RNA is filed under the name uncultured bacterium. RNAcentral's name for it is "bacterial SSU rRNA". It matches the Rfam family "Bacterial small subunit ribosomal RNA", at positions 192 to 603 of the family's 1533-position model. The record is from RNAcentral.
GGGGGGGAUCGCAAGACCUCUCGCAGUUGGAGCGGCCGAUGGCGGAUUAGCUAGUUGGUAGGGUAAAGGCCUACCAAGGCGACGAUCCGUAGCUGGUCUGAGAGGACGACCAGCCACACUGGAACUGAGACACGGUCCAGACUCCUACGGGAGGCAGCAGUGGGGAAUUUUGGACAAUGGGGGCAACCCUGAUCCAGCCAUUCCGCGUGAGUGAAGAAGGCCUUCGGGUUGUAAAGCUCUUUCGGCAGGAACGAAACGGUGGUCCCUAAUACGGAUUGCUAAUGACGGUACCUGAAGAAGAAGCACCGGCUAACUACGUGCCAGCAGCCGCGGUAAUACGUAGGGGUGCGAGCGUUAAUCGGAAUUACUGGGCGUAAAGCGUGCGCAGGCGGUUAUGUAAGACAGAUGUGAAAUCCC